AUGCGGCCGGACGGCCCGGGACCCCUGGGCGCUCCCCGCCCUCCCUCGGGGGCCCCGGCGCCCGGUUGCCGGCGUACUCACUCCCGGGGGUGGGAGCGGGGAGGUGAGGGCAGUUCGUGCGGCACAGUUCUGAUCCGUGUAGGGCGCACCGACCCCGCGGCGCCACACUUGGCGCAACGGCUCCGCUCCGCCCGGUCCCUGUCCCAGGCGCGGAGCCGGCCAGGGAGCGGGCAAAUCCGCCUGCAGGGGAGGCGGGGGCCCGGGCCCGGGCCCGGGCCCGGGCUGGGGGCGGGGAAGGGGCCGGACACGCUUGCGCACACGGCCGGAGAGCCGACUCCCGGAGCGGCGGGGAGGAGGAGGAGGAGGAAGGGCGGGGUGGAGGAGGAGGAAGGGCGGGGGCGAGGCGGCGCGCGGGCGGGGCGGGCUCCCACCGCAGGCUUGGGACGGCUUGGACGCCUCCGGGGCUCGGGGUGCGAGAGGCGCUGGGCGGCGGCAGGGGAGCCGGAUGGGGUGAGGACAGAGCCUGGGCAGACGCUGCCUGUGAGCCGCGACAAGAUGAAUGUGCCCGGUGCAGCCUCCCACACCCUCCCGGGGACAAUGAGACCCAAGAAAGGGCUUCUUGCGCUCCCACGCGCCGAACCGUGUCCUUGCCUCCCUGGGGAAACCGAGGCACGGAGGUGGGAGGGCCUUGCACCGGGAGCCGUCCUGCCUCUCCCGCGUGCACGCGCUGGGCGCCUCUACCCGAGUCUGCACCCGCCGCCGCCGCCAAGCUGCUCCCUCCCCACCACUCCCUUGCAGACCGGCUCACAGAAGACCCCAUCAGACCCCUGGGGCCCAGGCAGUCUCCCUGAAGGUCUGGACACGGCCAGCCCCAAGAACAGUCCAGAAGUCACCCCGCUGGAGGAGCUACAGCCCCCCACACCGGUCCCUCUCGUGGAUCAGCAGUGUUCUGACCCCCUAGUGGAAACAGCAGGUGCUGUGUCAGGCUCAGUCCCCUACCUGUCCCCAGGGGGCCGAGGUUCCAGCUCCAGAGACAGGAAGGCAGGGCAGGAUGUGACUAAGUGCAAAGCGUAA
This 1074-nucleotide long non-coding RNA is filed under the name Oryctolagus cuniculus (rabbit). Its description in RNAcentral is "lncRNA (ENSOCUG00000036966.1)". Lineage: Eukaryota; Metazoa; Chordata; Mammalia; Lagomorpha; Leporidae. The record is from RNAcentral.